AUGCCUGUGAUGGAGAAGCUGAAGAUGUUCAUUGUUCAAGAACCAGUUGUCGCUGCUUCAUGUGCCAUCGCCGGUUUUGGUAUCUCUCUAAACCCUAAUCUUAACCUUCCUCUUGUCAAUAAUUUCAUAUAUAAUACUCGUUUACUGCUAAAAUUAGGGUUAAGUGUUGAUUUAUUUACCUUCCCAUUACACAAUUGGGGUUUUCCGAUUACUGGCUGCAAUUCGAUGUGCCAAAAAUGA
This is a non-coding RNA of Vicia faba (fava bean), 240 nucleotides long. The record is from the annotation of a GenBank genome assembly. Lineage: Eukaryota; Viridiplantae; Streptophyta; Magnoliopsida; Fabales; Fabaceae.